UUUUUUUUUUUUUUUUUUUUUUUUUUUUUCUCACGAU
This 37-nucleotide non-coding RNA is filed under the name Prorocentrum micans. The record is from RNAcentral. Lineage: Eukaryota; Dinophyceae; Prorocentrales; Prorocentraceae.